UACGGGAGGCAGCAGUGGGGAAUAUUGCACAAUGGGCGCAAGCCUGAUGCAGCCAUGCCGCGUGUAUGAAGAAGGCCUUCGGGUUGUAAAGUACUUUCAGCGGGGAGGAAGGCGAUGUGGUUAAUAACCGCGUCGAUUGACGUUACCCGCAGAAGAAGCACCGGCUAACUCCGUGCCAGCAGCCGCGGUAAUACGGAGGGUGCAAGCGUUAAUCGGAAUUACUGGGCGUAAAGCGCACGCAGGCGGUCUGUUAAGUCAGAUGUGAAAUCCCCGGGCUUAACCUGGGAACUGCAUUUUGAAACUGGCAGGCUUGAGUCUCGUAGAGGGGGUAGAAUUCCAGGUGUAGCGGUGAAAUGCGUAGAGAUCUGGAGGAAUACCGGUGGCGAAGGCGGCCCCUGGGACGAAGACUGACGCUCAGGUGCGAAAGCGUGGGGAGCAAACAGGAUUAGAUACC
RNAcentral lists this ribosomal RNA (454 nucleotides) under uncultured bacterium. Its description in RNAcentral is "bacterial SSU rRNA". It matches the Rfam family "Bacterial small subunit ribosomal RNA", at positions 340 to 786 of the family's 1533-position model. The record is from RNAcentral.